This 72-nucleotide transfer RNA is filed under the name Camelus bactrianus (Bactrian camel). It matches the Rfam family "tRNA". Rfam says of the family: Transfer RNA (tRNA) molecules are approximately 80 nucleotides in length. RNAcentral also lists the same sequence under 1 other name. Lineage: Eukaryota; Metazoa; Chordata; Mammalia; Artiodactyla; Camelidae. The record is from Rfam by way of RNAcentral.
GAAGGUAUAGCGCAGUGGUAGAGUGCUUGCUUGUCAUGUACAAGGUCCUGGAUUCAGUCCCCAGUACCUCCA